RNAcentral lists this ribosomal RNA (455 nucleotides) under uncultured bacterium. RNAcentral describes it as "bacterial SSU rRNA". It matches the Rfam family "Bacterial small subunit ribosomal RNA", at positions 954 to 1404 of the family's 1533-position model. The record is from RNAcentral.
AUGCAACGCGAAGAACCUUAUCCAGUGGUUUGACAUCCUCUGACUACCAUGGAAACAUGGAUUUCCUGUUAAGGGACAGAGUGACAGGUGCUGCAUGGCUGUCGUCAGCUCGUGUCGUGAGAUGUCGGGUUAAGUCCCGCAACGAGCGCAACCCUUGUUCUUAGUUACCAGCGGGUAAUGCCGGGGCCUCUAAGGAGUCUGCCUGCGAUGAGCGGGAGGAAGGUGGGGAUGACGUCAAGUCCGCAUGGCCCUUAUGCCCUGGGCUGCACACGUGCUACAAUGGUCGGUACAACGGGCAGCGAAAUCGCGAGAUGGAGCAAAUCCCUAAAAGCCGGCCCCAGUUCGGAUUGGAGUCUGCAACUCGACUCCAUGAAUGCAGGAAUCGCUAGUAAUCGCGGAUCAGAAUGCCGCGGUGAAUACGUUCCCGGGCCUUGUACACACUGCCCGUCAAGCCA